UACGGAGGGUGCGAGCGUUGUCCGGAAUCACUGGGCGUAAAGGGCGCGUAGGUGGCGCGACAAGUCAACGGGGAAAGCUCGGCGCUCAACGCCGAGUCGGCCGUCGAUACUGUUGGGCUUGAGCACUGUAGAGGCUAAUGGAAUUCCGGGUGUAGCGGUGGAAUGCGUAGAGAUCCGGAAGAACACCGGUGGCGAAGGCGGUUAGCUGGGCAGUUGCUGACACUGAGGCGCGACAGCGUGGGGAGCAAACAGG
RNAcentral lists this ribosomal RNA (253 nucleotides) under uncultured bacterium. RNAcentral describes it as "partial 16S ribosomal RNA". It matches the Rfam family "Bacterial small subunit ribosomal RNA", at positions 524 to 776 of the family's 1533-position model. The record is from RNAcentral.